UAUUUAUGUAUAUGUCUUUAUAUAUAAUAAAAACAAACUGUACCAUAUGGGUGUAGUAUAUAAAUUGUACUAUUAUCUUACCAGUGCCCAUAAAUUGUGUGAUGAUUUUUGGUUCAGUUAAUUAACUCAAAUUCAGAUAGUAUUUUGUAGGAUUAGGGAAAGUAUGUGCAUGUCAUAUGGUCAAAGCAGCCCAGCCUAUUAGUGUUAGACAUUUAAAAAAUAUUUUCAAAAUAUUCAGUCUUGCCUUUACCUGAUUAUUUGAAGCCUUGAGGCUUAAAUGUGAUUAUUGUGGUCCAUCAAAAUUAUGUUUGUUAAUGUUGUAGGAAAAUAUGUAGAGAUGCUGCUUAAUCAUUAAGGACUAAAUGUGCUCAGAAAUAUUAGGUUUUAGCUGAUCUCCCAGUUGAAACACUGAACUUCUGCAGUGGUGUGAUUAUGCAGAAAUACUUGAAUUGAAUGUACUUUGUCAUUUCUUUAAAAUUCCCCUCCUAAAAAAAGGGCUUCUGUCAUGAGUGGCACACGUAGAGCAGCCUGAUUU
Long non-coding RNA from Myotis brandtii (Brandt's bat), 535 nucleotides. RefSeq lists it as uncharacterized. NCBI's taxonomy places the organism in Eukaryota, Metazoa, Chordata, Mammalia, Chiroptera, Vespertilionidae. The record is from RefSeq and is a predicted model, not a curated record. The transcript has 2 exons.